CCCUAAAUCUAGAUGCUUAUGUUACUAAAGAUCCGCCCGAGGACUACGAGCACAAACGCUUAAAACUCUAAGGACUUGGCGGUGCCCUAAACCCACCUAGAGGAGCCUGUUCUAUAAUCGAUAACCCACGAUGCACCCGACCACUUCUUGCCAAACACAGCCUACAUACCGCCGUCGCCAGCUCACCUCUCCUGAAAGUACAGCAGUGAGCACAAUAGCCCCAGCCCCGCUAGCAAGACAGGUCAAGGUAUAGCCUAUGGAGUGGAAGAAAUGGGCUACAUUUUCUAACCUAGAACACCCCACGGAAGGGGCAUGAAACAGCCCCAGAAGGCGGAUUUAGCAGUAAAGCGGGAUAACAAAGCCCUC
RNAcentral lists this ribosomal RNA (366 nucleotides) under Columba livia (rock pigeon). RNAcentral describes it as "12S ribosomal RNA". It matches the Rfam family "Bacterial small subunit ribosomal RNA", at positions 837 to 1361 of the family's 1533-position model. Lineage: Eukaryota; Metazoa; Chordata; Aves; Columbiformes; Columbidae. The record is from RNAcentral.